GGACGUAGCGCAGUUCUUAUCCGAUUGUGGUAAUGGUAGUGUUUCUGAACUACGUGGGAGAGCGCAUCGCUGGCAGCGAUGAGGUCAGGGGUUCGAUUCCCCUAGGCUCCACCA
RNAcentral lists this transfer RNA (114 nucleotides) under Paenibacillus polymyxa. Its description in RNAcentral is "tRNA-Ala". The record is from RNAcentral. Lineage: Bacteria; Bacillati; Bacillota; Bacilli; Caryophanales; Paenibacillaceae.